UCAUCUUUGGCCCAUAGAUACCCAUUGGAGGGGGAAUCCUCCACUUGGCCAAAAUCCCAUUGAUGAAGAGGAUGCGGCCUUCUUCUCAUCUCUUUAUGGCGGUUUCAAUGUUCUGAAAUCAACACUUGAGCUAACUCCCACCACCUUGCUGCCACCUCCAUGGUUUGCUGUCCAACGGUGAUCCUUGAGGUCCAAGCUAGGUCCUUCAUUCCUAAAACACAUAAAAGAACCCAUCUUAAGCAGCAGCAUAUUCUCAUUAAUAUUAAAUGAAGUACCGCGGAACGAAAGUACCUGAUAAUUUAGUUGUCGUGCACGACCUCUAGUAAUUGGUCCAUGUAUCUCCGGUACUUGAGGUGUAGGUGCUGUAGGGGCUGUGGUUGUAUCAUUACUUGGGAUGUCCUCAUCA
RNAcentral lists this long non-coding RNA (406 nucleotides) under Brachypodium distachyon (stiff brome). Its description in RNAcentral is "long non-coding RNA (BDIS_LNC004716)". Lineage: Eukaryota; Viridiplantae; Streptophyta; Magnoliopsida; Poales; Poaceae. The record is from RNAcentral.